CCUACGGGUGGCAGCAGUGAGGAAUAUUGGUCAAUGGACGAGAGUCUGAACCAGCCAAGUAGCGUGAAGGAUGACUGCCCUAUGGGUUGUAAACUUCUUUUAUAUGAGAAUAAAACGUUCCACGUGUGGGAUUUUGUAUGUACCAUAUGAAUAAGCAUCGGCUAACUCCGUGCCAGCAGCCGCGGUAAUACGGAGGAUCCGAGCGUUAUCCGGAUUUAUUGGGUUUAAAGGGAGCGUAGGUGGAUUGUUAAGUCAGUUGUGAAAGUUUGCGGCUCAACCGUAAAAUUGCAGUUGAAACUGGCAGUCUUGAGUACAGUAGAGGUGGGCGGAAUUCGUGGUGUAGCGGUGAAAUGCUUAGAUAUCACGAAGAACUCCGAUUGCGAAGGCAGUUCACUGGACUGUAACUGACACUGAGGCUCGAAAGUGUGGGUAUCAAACAGGAUUAGAUACCCCUGUAGUC
This 460-nucleotide ribosomal RNA is filed under the name uncultured bacterium. RNAcentral's name for it is "partial 16S ribosomal RNA". It matches the Rfam family "Bacterial small subunit ribosomal RNA", at positions 338 to 795 of the family's 1533-position model. The record is from RNAcentral.